Molecule: ribosomal RNA, 840 nt
Filed under: Nannizzia incurvata
Lineage: Eukaryota; Fungi; Ascomycota; Eurotiomycetes; Onygenales; Arthrodermataceae
Description: LSU rRNA
Rfam family: Eukaryotic large subunit ribosomal RNA
Source: RNAcentral
UGCCCAGUAACGGCGAGUGAAGCGGCAAGAGCUCAAAUUUGAAAUCUGGCCUCCUUCGGGGGUCCGAGUUGUAAUUUGUAGAGGAUGCUUCGGGUGUGGCCGCCGUCUAAGUUCCUUGGAACAGGACGUCAGAGAGGGUGAGAAUCCCGUCUUGGGCGGCUGGUCCGCGCCCGUGUGAAGCUCCUUCGACGAGUCGAGUUGUUUGGGAAUGCAGCUCUAAGCGGGUGGUAAAUUUCAUCUAAAGCUAAAUACUGGUCGGAGACCGAUAGCGCACAAGUAGAGUGAUCGAAAGGUUAAAAGCACCUUGAAAAGGGAGUUAAACAGCACGUGAAAUUGUUGAAAGGGAAGCGCUUGCGGCCAGACUCGGGGGCGGGGUUCAGCGGGUGCUCGUCGCCCGUGCACUCCCCGUCUCCCGGGCCAGCAUCAGUUUCGACGGCCGGUCAAAGGCCCCCGGAAUGUGUCGUCUCUCGGGACGUCUUAUAGCCGGGGGUGCAAUGCGGCCCGUUGGGACUGAGGAACGCGCUCCGGCUCGGAUGCUGGCGUAAUGGCCGUAAGCGGCCCGUCUUGAAACACGGACCAAGGAGUCUAACAUCCACGCGAGUGUUCGGGUGUCAAACCCGUGCGCGCAGUGAAAGCGAACGGAGGUGGGAGCCUUAGGGCGCACCAUCGACCGAUCCUGAAGUCUUCGGAUGGAUUUGAGUAGGAGCGUGGCCGUUGGGACCCGAAAGAUGGUGAACUAUGCCUGAAUAGGGUGAAGCCAGAGGAAACUCUGGUGGAGGCUCGCAGCGGUUCUGACGUGCAAAUCGAUCGUCAAAUUUGGCAUAGGGCGAAAGACUAAUC